GGAGAGUUUGAUCAUGGCUCAGAACGAACGCUGGCGGCAGGCCUAACACAUGCAAGUCGAGCGAGACCUUCGGGUCUAGCGGCGGACGGGUUAGUAACGCGUGGGAACGUACCCUUUUCUAAGGAAUAGCCACUGGAAACGGUGAGUAAUGCCUUAUACGCCCUUCGGGGGAAAGAUUUAUCGGAGAAGGAUCGGCCCGCGUUAGAUUAGAUAGUUGGUGGGGUAAUGGCCUACCAAGUCUACGAUCUAUAGCUGGUUUGAGAGGAUGAUCAGCAACACUGGGACUGAGACACGGCCCAGACUCCUACGGGAGGCAGCAGUGGGGAAUCUUAGACAAUGGGCGCAAGCCUGAUCUAGCCAUGCCGCGUGAGUGAUGAAGGCCUUAGGGUCGUAAAGCUCUUUCGCCUGUGAAGAUAAUGACUGUAGCAGGUAAAGAAACCCCGGCUAACUCCGUGCCAGCAGCCGCGGUAAUACGGAGGGGGUUAGCGUUGUUCGGAAUUACUGGGCGUAAAGCGCGCGUAGGCGGACAUUUAAGUCAGAGGUGAAAUCCCAGGGCUCAACCCUGGAACUGCCUUUGACACUGGGUGUCUUGAGUUCGAGAGAGGUGAGUGGAAUUCCGAGUGUAGAGGUGAAAUUCGUAGAUAUUCGGAGGAACACCAGUGGCGAAGGCGGCUCACUGGCUCGAUACUGACGCUGAGGUGCGAAAGUGUGGGGAGCAAACAGGAUUAGAUACCCUGG
Molecule: ribosomal RNA, 738 nt
Filed under: Roseobacter sp. PRLIST02
Lineage: Bacteria; Pseudomonadati; Pseudomonadota; Alphaproteobacteria; Rhodobacterales; Roseobacteraceae
Description: bacterial SSU rRNA
Rfam family: Bacterial small subunit ribosomal RNA
Source: RNAcentral